Molecule: long non-coding RNA, 1414 nt
Filed under: Mus caroli (Ryukyu mouse)
Lineage: Eukaryota; Metazoa; Chordata; Mammalia; Rodentia; Muridae
Description: polypeptide N-acetylgalactosaminyltransferase 6, opposite strand (MGP_CAROLIEiJ_G0002944.1)
Source: RNAcentral
AAGCUGAAUACAAGCCUGGAGAGCAUGCCAGUGUGCUCUGUCUCUCGAAGGCCUCUGCUCCAGGAUCCUGCCCUGACGUCCCUCCACAGUAGACUGUGAUGUAGAAAUGUGACAUCCACCUGCCAGUGUGUUAUCACAGUGGUAGAUGGCUAACUAAGUCAGGGGAGCAUUAGCCACCCCUCAGGGAGUGUCCUGCGCUGUGGGGUGUGGCAGAAGCGGGGACCUCUUCCCGCAUCUCCUCCACUGCGGGUCUCAGGAAAGCGCAAUUAAAGGUAGAGGAGGCACCUGAGAGGGGACACAUUUCUGUCGGGCCUGCCCGGCCUGAGCACAGUUUCCCUACCUGAUUGCCGCCGAGGUUGUGGCAGACGUACAUGAUGAGAGGCUUUCCUCCCCGGUUGUUCUCGCCCACGUCCAAACACUGAUUGGUACCAAGAUUCUUGAUCUGCACAAAACAAUUCGAGCCAGGAGGGGCUCCAGCCAGCCGUGGAAACACUCACCUGCAGACCCAAGCAAGAAGGUGAAGGGCCAGCUAAUCUGAGUACCAAGCCCUUACUAAAACACAAGGACAGGAUGGCCCCAGCCCCUCCUGGCACCGGAUGGGCGUGUCCUACUCACAGUGGGCAUCCAGGAACGUGAGCACCUCUGCCUGCGCCACGCUGGCCCCCAGUAGCCUGGCUGUGAUGAGCCCCUUCCGCUCCCGCUGCCGAACCACGCGCACGAUCUGCAGCUGCUGAACGUACUGCUCCAGCCUCUCCUUCAGGUGCUCUGGAAGGGACACGGCCACUGUGACCAGCCCCUCACUAAUCCCCUGUGGGUAUUACUGCCAAAAACUGUCCGCAGAAGGUGAGGGCAGAGAUGGAAAGACAGGCAGGCAGGAAGCCCUGUCUGUGGCCAGGCCCCCUUGAGAACAGACUUGCCAGCACCGAUGUCUGUGGCCAUCUUCCCCCAUCCCCCACUCCUUGAGGUGUUGGGAAUUUAAGCCAGGGCCAAGUGCUCCACCACUAAGCUACACUGCCCGGCACAGGCCUAAUCUUUGACUUUAUGCCCUGUGUAUGGGACUCUUCAGGGAGAGUAAAACAAGCCAAGCAGAUUUAAAAUACUAAAAGAGGCUGUGGGUAAUGUUCAGUGGUAGGCGCCUGCCUAGUGUGGGGGCUUCUUUUGGCCACAGUGGAUAGAGAUACAUCCCUAAGGACCUAAGGACCCUGGGACUCCAUCUGAAAUCCUCAGGACACAGAACAUAGUUUUACUUCAAAGGACUCCAUUUGGAGCAUCCUCCAUCUUAUGUCUUAACUGUUAAGUUUGACGGUCCUGGAACCUGCUCUGUAGACCAGGCUGACCUGGAACCAGGCUGGCCUCAGAUUCCCCCUGCCUCUGCCUCCCCAGUGCUGCAAUUAAAAAGACAUUCUAUCACUUU